Thalassophryne amazonica is the source of this 209-nucleotide long non-coding RNA. RefSeq lists it as uncharacterized. The record is from RefSeq and is a predicted model, not a curated record. The transcript has 3 exons. NCBI's taxonomy places the organism in Eukaryota, Metazoa, Chordata, Actinopteri, Batrachoidiformes, Batrachoididae.
ACGCUAAUGACCGUCUGUGAAGAAAUCAAAGAUGAACAAUGUGCUUCAUGCCCAAAUUAUGAGGUGCAAAUAGUAUUUCAUUUUCCUACUCUCCAUACAUCAGUGUAGCAGGGAUCAUGCAAGGUCAGUGAGCACUUUUCACACCAUGGAUGUAACAAGUCUUAAAGGACACAUAUAUUAUCAAAAUAUUUUGAAAAAAGAACCACACA